GGUUGGCAGGGUUUGUGCAUGCAGGACACGGAGGGACCUGGCAGGUCCUCUGGCUUGUGGUGACAUGGAGUUUCAGGUCCUGGGACAGUGGCAGUUUCAUUAAGGAACACUGGCAGGGAUGCUCAGUUGCACUCUAAGCAGCUUCCGUAAGCUCAGCCACCUGUGACAUCUCUAUACACCAAAGGUGUUUCUCAGAGGAGCUGGGAAGCGCUGCAGGAGUCUGGAACUGCAGGUCCUGUGGGUGCCAAGGAGGUUCCUUGGAGAGCUGGAGGUUGAAGAGGAGCUGA
This 287-nucleotide long non-coding RNA is filed under the name Cyanistes caeruleus (blue tit). RNAcentral describes it as "lncRNA (ENSCCEG00000023006.1)". Lineage: Eukaryota; Metazoa; Chordata; Aves; Passeriformes; Paridae. The record is from RNAcentral.